RNAcentral lists this ribosomal RNA (493 nucleotides) under uncultured bacterium. RNAcentral describes it as "bacterial SSU rRNA". It matches the Rfam family "Bacterial small subunit ribosomal RNA", at positions 33 to 507 of the family's 1533-position model. The record is from RNAcentral.
GACGACGCUGGCGGCGUGGAUUAGGCAUGCAAGUCGGACGGUAGGGCUUUAUCGUAAGAUAGAGUUUGAGAGUGGCGAACGGGUGAGUAACACGUAGGAAUCUACCCUUAAGACGGGGACAACCCAGGGAAACUUGGGCUAAUACCGGAUGAGAGUGCGAGAGAUUGCAUUUAAAAGGAUGGCGAAAGUUGUCGCUUAGGGAUGAGCCUGCGGUCUAUUAGUUAGUUGGCGGGGUAAAGGCCCACCAAGGCGAUGAUAGAUAGGCGGCCUUAACGGGUGGUCGCCCACACUGGGAUUGAGAUACGGCCCAGACUCCUACGGGAGGCAGCAGUCGAGAAUAGUCUACAAUGGCCGAAAGGCUGAUAGUGCGACGCCGCGUGAACGAAGAAGCCCUUCGGGGUGUAAAGUUCUUUUAUAUGUGAGCAGUGCUUUCUAUGUGAACAGCAUAGUGAGAGAGAUAUUAGCAUAUGAAUAAGCAACGGCUAACUCCGUG